Molecule: long non-coding RNA, 2187 nt
Filed under: Equus caballus (horse)
Lineage: Eukaryota; Metazoa; Chordata; Mammalia; Perissodactyla; Equidae
Description: lncRNA (ENSECAG00000045025.1)
Source: RNAcentral
CCCCAGACCUACUGAAUCAGAAUCAGCAGGGUGCAGGCCAGAAACAGAUGUUUCAGAAACUCUCUGGGUGAUUCUGAUGCACUGUAGUGUUUGAGAAGAACUACUUUAAAGUUUGCAGUUACUCCCAUGGACAUUGUAAGAGUUUUACCUCCAUCUUAUGAAGUAGAGAUGUUUUGAUCCAUUCUACAACGGAAUAAGAGAAGGCACAGAGAAUAUAAGUAAAUCUUCCUAGUCCAAGGAAGAAAGCUUUGAUCACUUGAAAUCCUGAAAGAGACUAAAAACGACACUGAAAUUGCCUUUGUGUGGAGAUAAUAAAUAUAAUUGGCCCAGUCAUGAAGAGUGUGCCUGUGAUAUUGGAGCAGCUGGUUAGCUAUGAUGGGAUCCAGCUGUCCCUGACACCCCACUUUAUGAAUCAACUGGAAAAGGAAAUGAGAGAGACAAGAGAGGCCAUGGAGUCAAAAGAACAGAAAGAAGCUACAGAAGCUGGAAUUUAGUAAAUAAAGAAGAGAGUUUUGUGAGAAGUUCAGAGAAGUAGCCAGAGGUUUGCUUAUGUAGAGUCUGGAAGUCAAUGGUAAAUUGCCUUCCUCCCAUUUGAAGUCCAAACCACACCCUCAACAUCCUCCUUUGUCUUUAGCUGAAGAUAGUAUUUAAAUUGGUGACUUCAGACAUUGUGGAGACUCAUACACUGUUUUGGCGAUGGCUUUUUAAUAAAGACCUCCAGAAGAAGUUGCAGGUCCAUCUAGUUGUGGGAUGUGGGACGCCGCCUCUACGUGGCCUGAUGAGCGGUGUCAUGUCCGCACCCAGGAUCCGAACCCUGGGCCCCUGCAGUGCAACUCUUCUUUCAGUGAAGUGCAUCCAUGUGAUUGAUUCUCACCAAUGUGGGCAGAGAGAUGUGUGUCGCUUCUCACCCUUCUCAUCCAUUGACUGAAUGCAGUGGACUUUCAGACCAUACAGAAGCCUGAAUCCUCAAGAGGAAGUGGCAGCUGUGGGAAUGUGCCUCUCAGAUCUCUGAGUAUGAGGAACGAGGUUGACUGAGGACCCCAGCUUCUAUGCUCUGAAAACUGUCGCUGUCUUCACACCAAGGCCAACUGUCAACCAUGCUGCCUGAAUAGUGACUGAGCUCAGCAAAGAUGCCAUGGCAGGCUCAUUCCUGAGAGAUGUGGGGCUUCUCUACGAGAGACUUUGACUUGAGGACUCCCUGUAGAUCUUGAGGAAACUUUCUUGAAUUGCCCAGAAUUCUAAGACUUUUCCUACCCAGUCUUUUUUCUCCUUCCCUCUCUCCUUUCAGAGGUCAGAAUUGCAUCAUGGUCAGAUGACUUUAGGGCCUCCUCCAGUUCCCUACACAUUUUUCCUUACCAAAUUUUCCUCAAUCUCUAAAAGGUCGAAUUCCAUCUUGGCAUCUGCUUUUCAGAGGACUCGAACUAACAUAAGUGAUGCGAAGAAUGGUAUAAGAUAAUGGGCAGUAAGAUGGGGUUCAUGGACUGGCAAAGAAGAUACCAUCCUGAGUCUCUGACACACAGUUCAUUUGCUAAAUAUUGUACUGGUAGUGAUGGGGAAAAGCAUCUUUGUGGAGGAAAAUACCCUUGUAGGUAUGAUGAUUCGGGCAUACGGAAGGUGAGAGGAGAGCAAUGCCCACAAAGGCAGUGGAGUGGUGGUUAAGGUUAUUGCUAAGUUGUAUUGACACUCUGCAGAGAGCUAAUAAAGAACCAAAGACCAUUAACAAACAGGUAAAGUCUUCAGGGUGAGAACCAGAGGGUCUCAUUGGGAGCUUACAAAGAGGCUUCUACCUCCUGCCGUGGAAGAGGGGACACAGCUGAGCAGCAGACAGUAAACAUAAGAUCUAGUAGAAUUUCAGAGCUCCAGAGACUUUAAAUACUCAGGUGGGAAGAUCUGUAAUGUUAAAGUUGGCCCUGGUUGAGAAAACUAGAGACCCUGAAACAUGGAACAGGGUAUCUUGAUAGAUGGCCUAAGGGAUGUUGGUUCUCCAGGUCCCUCUGAACCCUCAGAGAUCACAGAGGUGGAACUUCCCCUGUGUUGUGCUGGAAGACACUGUGGAAGCCCUUCUCCCCCUCAGCAGAUGCCCUCUCUUCCUCUCCUGGCUGGUAGGCUGGUGACUAGUGUCAAAUCCCUGCAUAAAAUGACUGGCCUAUUGCUGGGCCUGAUAAGAGAGGAAAGAGAUUAAUCAAA